Molecule: non-coding RNA, 781 nt
Organism: Malus domestica (apple)
Lineage: Eukaryota; Viridiplantae; Streptophyta; Magnoliopsida; Rosales; Rosaceae
Source: RefSeq, a predicted model, not a curated record
AUUUAUAUAUGAACACUUUUCUGGGGUCUCAGUGCAUUCCGUCACCGACACCGACACCGACACCAUUAAUUUGCCACGACAUGGCGGCCGUUGAAGCUCGCUGCCGUGUCCCACGGCUUCUGUUGUUAGUAGUAGUAGUAGUACUAGUUGUGUUUGAGUUUAUUCUGUAUGCGGAGUCCAAGUACGUGCAGUACAAUACGACGUCGGGGCUUGUCGCCGGGAAGCUGAACGUGCAUUGGUCCCUCACAGCCACGACGACGUGGGAUGGUUGAAGACCAUCGAUCAGUACUACGUUGGCUCCAAUAAUUCCAUUCAGGGAGCUUGCGUUCAGAACGUGCUGGAUUCUCUGGUUCCGGCAUUGUUGGCCGAUAAGAACCGCAAGUUCAUAUAUGUUGAGCAGGCUUUUUUCCAACGUUGGUGGAGAGAGCAGAGCGAGGGGACUCAGAACAUAGUGAAACAGCUAGUCAACGACGGUCAACUUGAACUCAUAAAUGGGGGGAUGUGCAUGCACGAUGAGGCUGCUACUCAUUACAUUGACAUGAUUGAUCAGACGACUCUCGGGCAUCGGUUUAUCAAACAAGAGUUCAAUGUGACUCCGAGGAUUGGAUGGCAGAUCGACCCGUUUGGACAUUCUGCAGUGCAGGCUUACCUGUUGGGAGCUGAGGUUGGAUUCGACUCUCUUUUCUUUGCAAGAAUCGACUACCAAGACAGAGCUAAACGGAUGGUUGACAAAAGCCUCGAGGUUGUCUGGCGGGGUUCUAAGAGUCUCGGUUCAUCUGCA